This 301-nucleotide ribosomal RNA is filed under the name uncultured bacterium. RNAcentral's name for it is "partial 16S ribosomal RNA". It matches the Rfam family "Bacterial small subunit ribosomal RNA", at positions 509 to 807 of the family's 1533-position model. The record is from RNAcentral.
CAGUCGCCGCGGGAAUACGAAGGGGGCUAGCGUUGUUCGGAUUUACUGGGCGUAAAGGGCGCGUAGGCGGACUGAUAAGUCAGGGGUGAAAUCCCAAGGCUCAACCUUGGAACUGCCUUUGAUACUGUUUGUCUUGAGUUCGAGAGAGGUAAGUGGAACUGCGAGUGUAGAGGUGAAAUUCGUAGAUAUUCGCAAGAACACCAGUGGCGAAGGCGGCUUACUGGCUCGAAACUGACGCUGAGGCGCGAAAGCGUGGGGAGCAAACAGGAUUAGAUACCCGAGUAGUCCCUGUCUCUUAUAC